CUUCCGCAUCCGAGGUGUGCCCUUCUCCCGCUUGCAUCUGCGGGUCAGGAAAACCAAAAGGGAGGCGCCCUCCAUUAGGAAACAUUCCAAAGGGAGAAAAGCUGCAAAUUUGUCGGCUGGCUUUGUUGUAACCCACUUCCACUUAACUGGUUUUGAUUUCUUUUGGUUUGCAAGUUCUAGGCUUUAGUGGGGAGGGGAGCACCACCGUCAUCGCAGGUGACCUGAAUCUUUCCGUUAACGACCGUUUUCUCAGAUGGAAUCGUGUGAUCAGAAGGCAAAAUUCUAGUGGUAGGCGACCUUAAACCUGCAUUCAUAUUCUUCUGUAUGCCUCCGUCCCACGCACACUGGUUUUUAGCAUAGUCUGUUCCUGCUUUUCCUUUGUUCGUUGUACUCCCUUAACUUGCUGCCUUCUUUUUCUUGGUACACAUCUGAAUAAUUGUAAACCUUACCUUUGUAGUGAAGUUCACCCUUGGUGCCCUGUCCCACGGAACCUGGCUUUGAAUCCCAAUCUCUGUGAAACAGGUUACUCAGUAUUGUUAAAGCCUUGUAAAUAAGUGACUCAGAGCAGCCCAGGAUAUGGUGACCCAGGUGUCAACCAGGUUAUUUUUAUACUUAAAACAUAAUAGCAGAGAACAGACAGAAUAAACGGUUUCAAUACCCCACAACAAGUGGAAUAACUGACAAGCCACCAAAAAUUAGAAUCCCAGACCCACCAGAAAGACAAUGUCUAGUAAUGCCUUGGUAUGUGAUUUUUUUUUCAUACAGAGAGCUGUCGUAGGUGUUGAGAAAAGAAAACAAAAAGACAAUAGAAGUCCAUUGUCUCUUGAUAACUAUUUCUUAAAAGCAAAUGAAAUCAGACUAUCUAGGUUGUUCUUGCCCCUGAGACCUCUAAUGCCAGCUGCAAGCCCAAGCUACCAUCCUUUGUUUCAGUUAGCAGUGUUCCGGACUUCAAAAGAUCCCUGAAUCCACUCCCAAGCUAAACAGUCAUCGCUGCUCUUGGCCAGGAGAGAUUUCUCUUGGCUGUUACAGUUUUUCAAACUUUUCCUGUUUGUGAUGAGCCUGAAAGUUUUGAAGACCACUGGUCAAGUACUUUGUACAAUGUCCCUUUAGGAUUUUCCUGAUGUUUUUCUCAUAAUUACAUAAGAGCAUAUUGUAUGUUUGGGGGACACCAAAAGACCAUAGAGGUGGAAUGAAAUCAUGGUCACUUCCUGCCAAGGGAUAUUUGUGUUUUGUUCUCUGCUUAUUGCCGAGUAGUAGUCCAGGACGUAGAUAUACCAGUUUUUGUUCAGCUACUGAGCCACUGAUGGACCUUUGAGAUUUGAGAUUGGCAGAGGAGCUGGGCCAGUGAGGUAGCAUCCUGUGGAGAAGAAAGAGCCACCAGAUCAACCUUCAG
Molecule: long non-coding RNA, 1393 nt
Organism: Fukomys damarensis (Damara mole-rat)
Lineage: Eukaryota; Metazoa; Chordata; Mammalia; Rodentia; Bathyergidae
Exons: 5
Source: RefSeq, a predicted model, not a curated record